Long non-coding RNA from Zalophus californianus (California sea lion), 610 nucleotides. RefSeq lists it as uncharacterized. The record is from RefSeq and is a predicted model, not a curated record. The transcript is spliced from 3 exons. NCBI's taxonomy places the organism in Eukaryota, Metazoa, Chordata, Mammalia, Carnivora, Otariidae.
CAGCUCAGAGGAGUGUCAUGUUUUUAAACGAUGGUGGUUUCUACAAAAGCUGACUUAAGGAGAUGCUGGGCACAAGAUCUGACUGGAAGAAAUCAAGAGGAAAGGGUGUCCGAGUGGUUCUGCUCUGAGCGAGAGAGCACAAGCAGAGGGAGCGACAGAGGGAGAGGGAGAAGCAGACUCCCUGCUGAGCAGGUGGGGCUCCCGCGGCAGGUGUCCGACAGCUCAGUAUUGGAACCAGAAGUUCAAUGGUGAAAGCUACAGCCACCGGAUGCCAGCAACAGAACUACAGGGGCAACCAGACCUUUUUACAAGUGCUACUAACAACGCGUCGACUCUCCUUCCUUUGGCCCUGCCACCGAUCACGGUUGCCAUCGCAUGUGCUGAUGGAACCACCAAUCCUCUGAUGUGGUUUCUGAGGGAAAGCAGCUGUUUGGCCUCAUGUUUACGAACACCGGGGUCUCCUAUCGCUUAUACUUGUGUUUGAAACCAAACACCUUGGCCAGUCUGUGUCGACCAGGGGUGGUACAAGAAGGCACUGUCCAUCUUGGGUGAGUUUUUGUACCAUCACAAAAGAGAAGACAGUCUUAUAAAAGAAAAUUAAACAACGCUG